RNAcentral lists this transfer RNA (75 nucleotides) under Candidatus Altarchaeota archaeon. RNAcentral describes it as "tRNA-Ile". It matches the Rfam family "tRNA". Rfam says of the family: Transfer RNA (tRNA) molecules are approximately 80 nucleotides in length. Their secondary structure includes four short double-helical elements and three loops (D, anti-codon, and T loops). The record is from RNAcentral. Lineage: Archaea; Nanobdellati; Candidatus Altarchaeota.
GGUCCCAUGGCUCAGACUGGUUAGAGCGUCCGACUGAUAAUCGGAAGGUCUCGAGUUCAAAUCUCGAUGGGACCA